GACCUCGACCAGGACACAAACUCAACACUACGGACUCUGAAACUGAAAUAUGCAAAGGCUAUGGCGCGGAUGGGUUGUAGGACAUGAAAACAAUAUGGCACCAGACUUAUGGGACGAACACAAGGACACUCGAAACUAAGGGUAGAUGUGAACCUAACGUUAUGUCUGAAGCUUUGAUUACCACUUGAGGAGAAUAAGUGUGGCCCGAUCUUCCGAAAGUUUCUGGCAACUAUCGAUUUGGUGGAAAAGAGACACAAAUCAAUCCAGCUUGCGAACAACACGGUUCGAAACCUGCAAUUCUUUUUAUUUUUUUUUGAUAUUUUUCUUUUACUUAGGAGCACUCAAGAAGUAACCACAGGAAAUUUGAGCUUGAACAAGAGAAAGACGUGGCCUGUGGAAACUUUUGA
This 407-nucleotide long non-coding RNA is filed under the name Sorghum bicolor (sorghum). RNAcentral's name for it is "long non-coding RNA (SBIC_LNC010494)". The record is from RNAcentral. Lineage: Eukaryota; Viridiplantae; Streptophyta; Magnoliopsida; Poales; Poaceae.